RNAcentral lists this ribosomal RNA (371 nucleotides) under uncultured bacterium. RNAcentral describes it as "bacterial SSU rRNA". It matches the Rfam family "Bacterial small subunit ribosomal RNA", at positions 527 to 896 of the family's 1533-position model. The record is from RNAcentral.
AGAGGUGGCAAGCGUUGUUCGGAUUUAUUGGGCGUAAAGGGCGCGUAGGCGGUCAUCUAAGUCUGACGUGAAAUCCCCCGGCUCAACCUGGGAACUGCGUCGGAUACUGCCUGACUUGAGUAUGGGAGAGGUGUGUGGAAUUCUCGGUGUAACGGUGAAAUGUGUAGAUAUCUGGAGGAACACCGGUGGCGAAGGCGCUAUCCUGGACCAUUACUGACGCUGAGCUGCGAAAGCUAGGGGAGCAAACGGGAUUAGAUACCCUGGUAGUCCUUGCCCUAAACGAUGAGUAUUAGGUGUGACGGGUGUCGAUCCCUGUGGCGCCGACGCUAACGCAUUAAGUCUUCCGCCUGGGGAGUACGGUCGCAAGACUG